Pelobates cultripes (western spadefoot toad) is the source of this 2818-nucleotide non-coding RNA. NCBI's taxonomy places the organism in Eukaryota, Metazoa, Chordata, Amphibia, Anura, Pelobatidae. The record is from the annotation of a GenBank genome assembly.
GUCACCUAUAGCAACAUUUAUGCUUUAAGGAAGUACACAUAAUGCUGAUAAUAUAUUAUACAUACGUGAGUUAUCUGCACUUUUUUUGGCUAACAAAAAAAUACAAAGCAGUUGAAAACAUUUAAACUGUGCUUAUGUUGCAGAUUUCAUACGGGAAAUCCCCAAAAAUGAUAGUGCAUUUGGCACUGCUAGAGAUCCACCAGGUAUACACUUAACAUGUACUGGGUGAGAGAGAGUAAAAGAAAAUAAAACAAGAUGCUAACAAUAAUAUAAAUCAACAGAUAACCACAAGCUGCUGUUUUAGCACAUUAUCGGAUCAUGAGACCAGAGGUAUUGGUCUGUCAACCUACUUCCAGGAAGGGGAAGGUAUAGUGGCAGACUUUGCAAGGCCAGCAUAAAUGGCACAACUGGUCCCCCCCCAAGUUUCUAUAGGAACUAGCACAGAAUGUCCGAUUACCCUGCUACCCCAUGUGUGCAUGGCAAAGUCCCAAGUCAGUCACCUAUCAUGGAGAAACCCUCAGGCAUACGGAUGCCGUGUGGGGGUAAUUCUGUUUCCAGCUCAUGAAGUGAAUUCAGGGUCCUGCCAGCAGCAAGUGUCAUCUGAACCAAAAAGCGGAAGGUGAAUGAAGUACCCUCUCAUCAAUUCUGAGCCAGACUUUAAUAAAGAUGGAGUUAGUCGUUUCCUCUCACCCCUGCCACUUGUCCUCCAUCGAAGUUGGCAACCAUCUUAGUUCCUCAGUAUAGGCUUCUUUGGCAGCUAAUGUAAGGCCCAUGAUAAGCAGGGAGCAGGAUAAGCCCACCGGUCCAAAGGGUAGGGGGGGCACCAGCAAUAAUCCACAGUGGUAUCAGAAGCUCCACACUGGGAUAUCAGCUGCUUCUUCUUACUCCAGGGCACGCCAGGCUGCAUCAGGUAAGCCACGCCAGACACUAGUGAGUGGGAUUCUAAAUGAAUGGCAGAGGUCUCUGCAGUUCGAGUAGGCAGGGUGAAUAGUCACUGUGUCUCAAAAAUAGGGCAAAUGGCUGCAAUACAGAUUGAAUACUGUAAAGUUUGUGAGGAGUAUAAAGUAUUAAAAAGGAGGGGUAAACUCCUGUCUGAAGUAUCCCUUUAAUGUUAGUGAGUAGAUUUGUUUUUGAAAGGUGGAAGAAAAAAAAUAAAAAAAAUAAGAAAGUAACCCAAGAACAAGAACUAAAAUACAUUUUCAGUGCUUUCCACCAAUAAAAAGGUAUAUACGUACAUGGGCCAUCCUCUGCUCUUUCUUAAGUCCACUGCACAGAUGCAUUCUUGCUCAUUUAGCUUGUAUGAAGCUACUCAUUCCAAGCUUGGUUUGAUGUGGUUUUCCAUCUGCAGAUUUCUCAAAUUUUACACAGUAUUAGAAGCAGAUGUGGAGGAAAAAAAAAAAAAAAAAACUGGAAAUAGGUAUGAAAGCUUUUGCACAUUACAAAGAGCGACUUACCAAGAAUUGUAUCAAAAUACAUAGAUAUAAACACUGUAUUGGAAAUAUUCAGCUAAUGCCUGUGCCAAAGAUUGAGCCACAGCCCUAGUAUCGGUUAUUUUUACUAUUGGAUAGGGGUUCUUCAGGCAAUUUAUAUAGUUAAAUCAGCUUGACAAAAAUCAGGGCACUUCUGGCAACUUAAGCCCUACCCCUAUGCUGCUGUAUGAACGUCUGCAUUAGUCAUCAAUCUGCUCAUGGCAAUUAUGGGCUGGGAGCACUGAGAACUGGUUAGAACAAAGUUCUCAGCCAAUGCAGAAAUGGGUUUCCCUAUUAACCAAGCAGCAACUGAUGGUUUGAACUACAAGUGCCAAAAGAGGCAAAUACGGUUUGACAUAAAUGUGAGUGACGCCCUGAGACUAUCUAUACCAUAAAAACUGCAAUGAUUUGAAAUACCUCCAACUUAUAAGCCACUCUCAGGAUGCUAUAAACUUAUCCUGCCAUACCAGUCCCUUUCUGGCUCGACACAAGCAAGCCAAUGGGAAAUGGACCUUCAGACCUCCAUCACUGAAAACCAGUGGAAAACUAUCACAUCCUCCGUUAGGAGGCAGGUCAAAUCUGCCUCCCUCAUGGAGCAAUAUCAGAAAACAAUCUACAGGUGGUAUAUGGUGCCGCUUUGCUUACAUAAAUUGUAUCCCCACACGUCUUUGACGUGUUGGAGAUGCAAACAAGAGACGGGGUCAGUCCUUCACAUAUGGUGGCGAUGCCCACGCUUAAUUAGGUACUGGGGCGAUGUCCAAAAACUCAUUGCUGAAACCACAAACGUCAAUCUACCUCUCGAGCCCAUGACCUUUAUGCUAUUGGAUAUCCCCAAGGAAGUACCCAUAAAGUCGAGAAAACUAAUAUAUCAUACCCUGCUGACCGCACAAAAAACUAAUAGCUAGAUCCUGGAAGACAAUUGGGGCUCCUAAUAUCCCACACCUUAUUCAGGACAUAGAUAACCAGGCGAUUUAUGAAACAAGCUUUUCCGGGAUGCGCCCUGGCUCAAGCCGCCUUGGCGGAGCGUGGGACCAAUGGCGCACCUGGAGAAUGGCCAACCCACAACUUCUAAUCUAAUCUAACACACAUUGUAACGACCUAAGUGCAAACUGCAGGCUUAACUGGGCACGCCAGGGCUAGGACAGUCAGGCAGUGAGUAGCUAAGAGACAGACCGAACAGUACAAAGUGAGUCUGGAAAAGUGGUCAGCUGGGACGACUAUCACGGAGAGGACCCCUACUAGUGUGUAACAAUGAAUCAACGUACGCAACUGUAAGCAUUGUAACUGUGUAAACAAUGUAAAUGCAUAAUCCAUCGUUCAACAUGUGACUCAUUGUAUCGUGACUGUAC